GAAAGUAAGAAAGGGCGUAUGGCGGAUGCCUAGGCUCACGGAGGCGAUGAAGGACGUGAUAAGCUGCGAUAAGCUUCGGGUAGGUGCAAAUAACCCUUGAUCCGAAGAUUUCCGAAUGGGACAACCUAGCCGUCUGAAGGACGGUUACUCUUACCAAUGUAAGAGAGCUAACGCAGGGAACUGAAACAUCUUAGUACCUGCAGGAAGAGAAAAUAAAUGAAUGAUUCCCCCAGUAGUGGCGAGCGAACGGGGAACAGCCCAAACCAGUGGCGUCGCAAGGCGUGGCUGGGGUUGUAGGACCGCGACAUUGUACUGAAAUGGUGAGUGGAAGUAUCUGGAAAGUUACAUCACAGAAGGUGAUAAUCCUGUACACGAAGCCAGAUCAGGCAUAGCGGUAUCCUGAGUAACGCGGGACACGAGGAAUCCUGCGCGAAUCUGCCGGGACCAUCCGGUAAGGCUAAAUACUCCCGUGAGACCGAUAGCGAACGAGUACUGUGAAGGAAAGGUGAAAAGAACCCCGAGCAGGGGAGUGAAAUAGUUCCUGAAACCAUACGCCUACAAGCGGUCGGAGCAUCGCAAGAUGUGACGGCGUGCCUUUUGCAUAAUGAUCCUACGAGUUACCGUCACUGGCGAGGUUGAGUGUCAUGAGACACGUAGCCGCAGUGAAAGCGAGCCUGAAUAGGGCGCACAGUCAGUGGGGGUAGACGCGAAACCAAGUGAUCUACACUUGGCCAGGAUGAAGUCCCGGUAACACGGGAUGGAGGUCCGCACCAAUAAGCGUUGAAAAGCUUCUGGAUGAGCCGAGUGUAGGAGUGAAAGGCCAAUCAAACUUGGAGAUAGCUCGUACUCCCCGAAAGGCAUUUAGGUGCCGCGUCGGAUGGUCACCGUGAGAGGUAGAGCGACCGAUAGGACAAGAGGGCUUCACCGCCUAUCGAGUCCUGACGAACUCCGAAUGCUCACGGUCUGCAGUCCGGCAGUAAGGGGGCGGGUGCUAAGGUCCGUCCCCGAGAGGAGAAGAAUCCAGACCGCCGUCUAAGGUCCCGGAGUUCUGCCUGAGUUAGUCUAACGAAGUCUGGUCCCUAUGACAGCUAGGAUGUUGGCUUGGAAGCAGCCAUUCAUUCAAAGAGUGCGUAACAGCUCACUAGUCGAGGGUCCGGGCAUGGAUAAUAAUCGGGUAUAAGGCAGACACCGAAGGCGCGGGAUAGCAAUUAUAAAAGUAUCGGUAGGGGAGCAUACUCACAGCGUCGAAUGGUGUACGUAAGUUAUCCUGGAGCGGUGAGUAAAGCAAAUGUAGGAAUAAGUAACGAUAAGGAGGGUUAGAUUCCCUCCCGCUGUAAGACCAAGGUUUCCCGGGCAAUGCCAAUCAGCCCGGGGUCAGUCGGGUCCUAAGUCUAAGCCGAACGGCGAUGGCGAUGGCAGAGACGGUUAAUAUUCCGUCACUGCCGCAUGGGGCGAUGUGGAGACGGAGCAGUGAAACCACCGCGGGGCGACGGAAGUCCCCGUUGAAGGGUGUAGGUGUUGAGGAGAGCAGGCAAAUCCACUCUCCGAGCUGAACCUGAUAGUACGGAGUCCUCCUCGGAGGAAUCUGAUAGUGUGGGUAAUCAUACUCCCGAGAAAAUCCGCUAAGCUUAACCCAUGCGGCACCCGUACCGCAAACGGACACACGUGGUCGGGUAGAACAUACUAAGGCGUUGAGAGAUUCAUGGUUAAGGAACUAGGCAAAUUGACCCUGUAACUUCGGGAUAAAGGGUCCUCGUGAUGAGCGAGGCGCAGAGAAUAGGUCCAGGCAACUGUUUAACAAAAACACAGGGCUGUGCAAACUCGAAAGAUGACGUAUACAGCCUGACACCUGCCCGGUGCCGGAAGGUUAAGAGGAGAUGUCACUAGCAAUAGGAAGCAUUGAAUUGAAGCCCCGGUAAACGGCGGCCGUAACUAUAACGGUCCUAAGGUAGCGAAAUUCCUUGUCGGGU
This 1970-nucleotide ribosomal RNA is filed under the name metagenome. RNAcentral's name for it is "bacterial LSU rRNA". It matches the Rfam family "Bacterial large subunit ribosomal RNA", at positions 1 to 1977 of the family's 2925-position model. The record is from RNAcentral.